GUGCUCGCUUUGGCAGCACAUACACUAAAAUUGGAAUGAUACAGAGAAGCUUAGCAUGGCCCCUGCGCAAGAAUGACACGCCAAUUCAUGAAGCGCUCCAUAUUUUA
This is a small nuclear RNA of Dipodomys ordii (Ord's kangaroo rat), 107 nucleotides long. The record is from Ensembl. Lineage: Eukaryota; Metazoa; Chordata; Mammalia; Rodentia; Heteromyidae.